UUUCACCCCCUUCCGCCGCCGCCCCUUCCACUAUAGGGCGCCACCGCCCCUUCCGCCGCCGCCCUUGCACGGCACGGCGACGCCGCCCCCCGCCGCCAGGAGCCCAGGACGGACGCUCCGAUGCCUCCUCGUGCGGCCGCGCCACCGCUGUGCUGCGUGCUGGUCAAGCGACCCCAGCCGUCCAGGGGACGCCAUCGCCGCCGCCUGGUCUCCAGCGUCCAGCCAUCCAGCCGCUGCAGGUCCAGCUACUCCAGCCCUCCCUCCGCUACACACUGCGGACCAGGAGUUCCAGCUAGCGGACCAGGACGACGGAUGGUCGCCUUCCUCCGCUCCUGACCAGGACGACCGAUGGUCGCCUUCCUCCGCUCCCGACCAGGACGCCAGGACCACCGACGCUGGUAAUAUGAUCUCUUCCUUCUCCACUCUGAUUACCAAUUCUUCUAUUCUAUCCUAGCAUCCAUAUGUGAUACGUCAACUUGUGAAGUUUGUGAACUAGAACUACUAAACUGUGUUGCUUUUGCUGACCUGAUGACAAUAGUUGAUAAAGAAUUAGAGAGAUUGGGGAAAAGAAUUAGAGAUUGGUAUUUGGUAAUUUAUAUUUCAGUUUUAUUGUGUUGCUAUUUGGUGUUCUGAGCUUAUGAGGAAGACUUGUUUGAGACUAUGAGAAAGACUUUUUUUUUUACGAAUGACUAUGAGAAAGACUUACAUUUGAUUGAGUACUGAUUCUGGUUUGCUAUUUAGUGUUGGUGAUGUGAUGAAGUAUAUGGUGAUACGGUGAUUUAUAUCUCAUUUUGUCCUUUUUGUGACAGAGAACUAGAGAUUAUUAGUGUAUAUGAUGAGCGAUGCUGCUCUUCUGCUGCAGGUACGUGAACAGGGGCGGCGUUGACAACACUGGCCUCCUCCAGCAGCAAAUCUUCGCCCCGCUCCUGCUCCAAGCUCCUUUAGCGACCUCACCACCUCGCCUGCUGCCUGCUUCGUGCUCAGCUCGCCUACGAGAUGUUCGAUCAAUUGACCAAACCGAGCCAAGCCAAGUCUGCCUCUCUUGCCUGGGCAUGGACGACGACCAGGUACUUCCCAUCAUCAAGUAGUCGAGUACCAGAAGCGACGCUGACAGAGAGGAAGAGGCUACAUAAGGAUUCUUGUGUCCCAAAAGGUAUGUUCCUUUUUGCCUAUUCAUGUUCCAUGCAUUACCUGGCUUACGGUGUCCAGUCAACUCAGCUCACAGUGAUCAAUGAUUGAUCAAUAUUAACACGAUUUGAUUUUCAAUUUAAAGCGGAACCUACUAGAUUAUUGGAUGUUUGGAUGGUCGAUAUAUGUCACUCUCUGACUCUUAGUUCCUUCUAUCUUUGCGUUUUUUUUACUAUAAUGUGCGAUUGAGAUAUCAACUCUACAGUUUCUAUCAUGGCGAAGCAAAAGAACGUGGAAUUAGUGAUGGCGAAACUUUAAAAUGCUUUGCAUCAUUAGGGUUGUUAUUAUUACGUCAUCGCGUACAUUUUUUUGCCAUUCUAUAUUUCUAAAAUAUAAUUAUUUCCAUGGUUGAUGCGUAUUUUGGAUGUGUGUGUGCACUUGGUUCUUUUAUAAUCAAGGUAAUUAGUAGGGCUAAAUCAUGAGAUAAACCGAGCUGAUGAUGAAACAUGUAUAUAUAUCAUCAUAAGACUAUUUUUCUAUUUGAAGAACUGCAAGGGAACAAAUGAAAUAAAUGUGUAUUUUUUCAAAAAACUACAGUUUUAGCAAUCUUGGUGUACGAUACUAUUUUUUCCUAGAGAUAUAUGUUGUUUUCCUGGUAUGUUUGGUGUACGAUACUAUUUUUUCUGGCCCUCUUGUGUUUCUGUCUAGUUUGUGCAGUUAAGCGUAUGUGUGCUGGAUCAUACAUGUUAUAUGUACUUGACAAAUAUGAACUUAGCACCAACUAAGAAAUCUCAUGUUCUAUCAUAAAGCACUAAGUUGACAAUAUAUUAUAAUUACAGUCCAUAUAUGUAUUGAAAAUAACCUGACUCUUCUGAUUUAUAAUGAACUUCUGCUCAUGCGCUUCAGUGAAUCUUAUUUUGCAGGAAAUUUUUGCAAGUGAAGGUGAAGGAUUGUUCUAAACUGGCAGAUGAAGCUAUGCGUUCUUUUAGUGGACUUUUAUAUGUUUGCAUAGUUUUUGCUCUUCAAACAUGAAGCUUAGAAAAUUUCAGAAAAUUGUUACUAAGUUAAGCUUCAUGUAUGACAGAUUGUCAUUGGAGAUAGAUACACUUUAUGUUAGAUUUACCGUCUUGUAAACUAAACUUAUGUUGUUCGAAAUUGAUGUUUUGAUUAAUUUGGGAUUUUUGUUUCGUGUCAAAACCUGGACGUCUGAUUCGAUGGUUUCUUCUUUG
This 2357-nucleotide long non-coding RNA is filed under the name Triticum aestivum (bread wheat). Its description in RNAcentral is "long non-coding RNA (TAES_LNC014439)". Lineage: Eukaryota; Viridiplantae; Streptophyta; Magnoliopsida; Poales; Poaceae. The record is from RNAcentral.